Long non-coding RNA from Bos indicus x Bos taurus (hybrid cattle), 1064 nucleotides. Lineage: Eukaryota; Metazoa; Chordata; Mammalia; Artiodactyla; Bovidae. The record is from Ensembl.
AACCAGAGCAGCUGAUGGUGUGAACCCCAAUCCAAGGGCAGGAGGAGCGGCAACGGAUGUCCCCGGUCACCAGCGAAGCAGGAAAAAGAGGCACUCUGCACUUUGGGCUCUAUUCAGGCCCCACUGGGUUAGAGGGGCCCCCACACCAGAGAGGUGUGUGCAGCAGAGGCCGCCACUCAAGAUGCCAGUCUCGCCCGGAAAUGCCCUCACUGACCUGGAGCAGUGUUGCCUGUGGGAGCUGAUGGCCAGGCAAGCUGACAGGCGUGGUAGCCACGACUGGCUCUGUCCCUGCCUCUCCUGCCUCCCGAGUCUCACGUCCUCCCCUGGAAGGUGAUAUCACAGCAGUGACAGGCGACAGUCCCCGCCACAUGCCCCAGAGCGGCCCCUCCAGCCUCUCCCCCCACCGCUGGCCCUGGGCAGCCCGUUCACCCCCGUCAGAUAAGGAAACUGAGGCCCAGACUGCUGAGCGCACAGCAUUUGCGGUCAUUCACCCACACGAUGUCAUGCUGACUUCAAAGCCAGGCUCUGAGCCACUGCACCCGAGCCCAGGAGACCCUGCAGGAUCAGGGAAGGUGCUCCCCUUGGAUGGUGAGACUCCAGCUGACACCUGCCUGCCUCUGAGACCUGAGGGAAAGAGGGAACCUCCCUUCCAUGAUUACCACCAUGGUACUGGGUCAUAUGCCCACUCCCGGACCAAUCACUGAGGACAGAAAUGGGUGGUUCCAACUGCAAAACAUGACUGAUACACUCACAUCUGGAGUCAGAGAUGGAGUUCACACUCCUUAAUUUCAUGGACUGAGUACAGAAGAGUAGGGAUUUCCCAGAGGAAAAUCAGGGUGCUAUUACCAAAGACAUGAUGGACAAUGUAUGAUGGGCUGUGCUCACUGUCCACCAAAUAGCCAUCCAUGUCCCUUUUCCCAGCUCACAGAGCCCCACUUUGUCCCAUAAGAAGCAGAAACCCUGGGACCACAGGAAAGUCAACCCCCUAACACAACCUUAUAAUGAAUCAUAUUUGGUCACAGAAAGUUAGUAAAUCCACCCCCUUUUCCAGAUUUUCACUUUCC